UACAUGUGGGGCAAGCGUUGUUCGGAAUCACUGGGCAUAAAGGGUGCGUAGGUGGUAUGGUAAGUCAGGGGUGAAAGUCUGGGGCCCAACCUUAGAAUUGCCUGUGAUACUGCCGUACUUGAGUGCGUAAGGGGUAACCGGAACGAGCAGUGUAGCGGUGAAAUGCGUAGAUAUUGCUCGGAAGGCCAGAGGCGAAGGCGGGUUACUGGUGCGCAACUGACACUGAGGCACGAAAGCGUGGGGAGCAAACAGG
Molecule: ribosomal RNA, 253 nt
Filed under: uncultured bacterium
Lineage: Bacteria
Description: partial 16S ribosomal RNA
Rfam family: Bacterial small subunit ribosomal RNA
Source: RNAcentral